RNAcentral lists this long non-coding RNA (731 nucleotides) under Neodiprion lecontei (redheaded pine sawfly). RNAcentral's name for it is "uncharacterized LOC124292898". Lineage: Eukaryota; Metazoa; Arthropoda; Insecta; Hymenoptera; Diprionidae. The record is from RNAcentral.
UUUGAACGACAGGUUGAGUCCCGUACAGCGCGAGUUUCCCUCAGAGUCCGAGAAUUGGCUUAGCUGCACAGUUAUCGAGUUAUAUUCCGGUACAAAAUUUCAAACUGUUCUCACACCCACGCGUCGAUGUCAAGUUGUAACAAAUUCAGAAGAAAGAAACGGAGGAACGAAAAAGAAAAACAUGACAUAGCUGUAGGAAGGCCAGCUAUAAAAAUUUCAUGCAAAACACACAACCGCGUUCGACGAACUACUGAAUACGGAGUGCGUUAUUGUCCCCCAGCAAGGUGAAAAAUCUCAGGGGAAGAAGAAGGGUAAAUAAUAAAGUGGACGGCAUUAAACAGCUGUUUUACUGCAAAUUAAGGGAAAAAAUAACUCUCGAAUAUCGGGCAUUAUGCUGUACGAUGACGGAGACGUGGUUUAUUGUUAAAAUACCGGUUUACACCUGCAUAGAAGAGAUAUUUUUCUAGCGACGGCGGCAUGAUCGAUUAAAUUUAUCUCUGUACAGACCUUGUUUACGAUCUUGGCAUGUGGAAUUUACAGUGAACGAGAAACGUCUGACAUCGCCUUGAAGUAUUCCCAGCAUGGAAAAACAACAAGGCGACAAAGUUAAUCGUCGAACAAGUUUGUUUUUUUCUGAUUCAAUAUAAGUAUUACGUCUGAGAACAAAACUUAGUAUUUGGGAGUUUCCAAAUUUUUAUGUACAAACGAAUAAACCAUCCCCAAUAUUAAAA